AACUGAUACUACCUGCGGGAACCUGCGGAGGGAUCAUUACUGAAGUGAUUUGGGGAUGUUGCUGGCCCUCUCUCAAGGGGGGGCACUGUGCACUCCUCGAAACAAUUCGCAAUUUCCAUCACACCCCUUGUGCACACCUUGUAGGCACCCAAACCCACCUCCGGGUGGUGGGGUCCUAUGUAUUCCUUCAUCUCACACUCUGUUGAAUGGUGCCAUGGGACGCAUCUAAAGGAUUAUUUG
RNAcentral lists this unclassified non-coding RNA (240 nucleotides) under soil metagenome. RNAcentral describes it as "partial contains 5.8S ribosomal RNA, internal transcribed spacer 2, and large subunit ribosomal RNA". The record is from RNAcentral.